UAGGUGAUUCUUGAUGCAAAGCUAAAAGG
RNAcentral lists this small RNA (29 nucleotides) under Bombyx mori (domestic silkworm). RNAcentral's name for it is "ovarian small RNA-3083". The record is from RNAcentral. Lineage: Eukaryota; Metazoa; Arthropoda; Insecta; Lepidoptera; Bombycidae.